GGCCCUUUGUCUGGGCUCGGUCUCCAACCCGCCUAGCUGCCCUCACGGGGCUCACAGUGGUGGCCCCGGCCCCGGCCCCGGCCCCGGCCCCGGCAGGCCGCCCCAGGAACAGCAGAGCAGACCCCAGCCAGACUGGAGGAUUCCGCAGCCCUAGUUCACCCCCGAUGUGAACCGGAUCGCCAGUGGCGCCCCUUGCGUUCCCGGUGAGGAAACAAGACUCAGAGAGGACAGAGUUGUGCAGGAGGUUACUCAUCCGCCCACCAAAUACUCGUUGAGCACCUACCACGAAGUGCUAGGUCCUGGGGUUACCGCUGUGUGUUUUCUGGAAGGGAAGAAGCGGAACAAGCUUGGAAAGCCAGAAGCCAAGUCUGGAAGUCUGGAGGGCUUGAAAACACAGACUUGGAGGGCGAGUCAUCCUAAGAAUUAGGUAAUCGUUGAAAACAAACAAGAAUACUUUCGUCCCUUUAAAGCCUUAGUUCUUCCUCUCUGGAGAUCCUUGACUCAGCAAAGUCUCCUCUUCCUGCUGCAGACUGGCUGGAGAGCAGCGGGAAUGCGUUUUGCAGUUAGAGAAGAGUAUGGAGACUUUUUAUGUAGAUCAAACAACAGGUAAAAAGGGGUCACUGUAGAUCUUCAGCCACAGAAGCCUUGUUUCUCACCAGCCAUACGACCUUUGGCAAGUAAUUCAGUGUCUGGUAGCUUCAUUUCCUCAUCUUCAGAAUGGAAAUGAUCAUCCUUACUGCUCACGCUUCUAUAGGAAGGGGAGUUACCCAUGGAUGGGACACUACUCUGAGUGUCCACCUGGAGUUGAGCUCUGGGAGAACUCAGUCAUUUCUAUCUGUUUACAGCGAUUCAGCACCCCAUUAGGAACUUCCUCAGCAAACCCGAGAAAGAGAUCAGGCAAGACUUGUGCUGGGCAGACCCUUUGGAGUGAGGCUUUCUGUGCCGGGCAGGUAUUCCCUCUUAGUCCUCGAUCCGUUGCAGCUAAUCAGUAACCAAGGACCAUGUGACCACUGCUCACAGAGACUUGAUCAUGCAGGUGAUGAUGGUGAAUUAGAGGAAUACGACCUCCCAAGAUGGUGGAACUGGAACUGAGGAGGUAUUGAUUGCAAAGUAUUAUUCCUGAAAAAUUAGAAUCUUGCACUUUUCAAGAGAACUCCACAGAGGUAUUUCCCA
This 1173-nucleotide long non-coding RNA is filed under the name Canis lupus familiaris (dog). Its description in RNAcentral is "lncRNA (ENSCAFG00000057693.1)". The record is from RNAcentral. Lineage: Eukaryota; Metazoa; Chordata; Mammalia; Carnivora; Canidae.